UCAUUAUAAAUAUAUAGCAGUGGAUUCUACCCCGCUGAUCUUGUUAGUGGCAGAGGCCUUGCUAAAUUUUUGCUCACCUGCAUUGCAAAGAUAAAGAAAUGUUCUGUCAGGUUAAUUCAUUCCAAGUUUCUAUCUAUGAUGCGAUGUUUGGUUUUUCAAAUCUCCUUCGAAUUCAAGCACACAUAACCAAUUGCAUGCUCCAGAGCCGUGAUCAUUAUUGUUUGACAUCUAUGACAGUGGAUACUCCAGUGGUUAAUUCCGAUAAUCUUUAUUCUUGUCCCC
RNAcentral lists this long non-coding RNA (282 nucleotides) under Elaeis guineensis (African oil palm). RNAcentral's name for it is "long non-coding RNA (EGUI_LNC039857)". Lineage: Eukaryota; Viridiplantae; Streptophyta; Magnoliopsida; Arecales; Arecaceae. The record is from RNAcentral.